UUUCCUCCAGAAAACAAGACAAUAUCUUAUGGCAUUUUAAACAAGACAAAAAUACUGAGUAAGAAAAGUAUUUUUGCAGUGUUGAUUUUACGAUCUCAGAAUAAAAGUUGUGUGACAAGACGGGGUUAAGGGUUUAAACGCAUGUGGUGAUAUUUCUGAGAUUCAAAUCAAAUCAUCCUGUAUAAACUGCAGACUGACUGGUAUGUCUCUUCACCAACGAUUUGUACAGCUGAAAUGAGCAAGUUGUCCUCAUUUUUCUCAUAUCUUAAACCCUGUAUUCCUCACUUGUACAGCACUUCUUCGGACGAUGACACCUCCUUAGCUGAACUGGGUACAGCUGGAACCAGUUCGCGGAAAGACUUCUCUGCCUUUGUGACCAGAUUUCCGGUUUCUCUGGAGGGCCAGCCACCAACCAAAAGGCAGCGGGUUGAUUCAGGGUUUCCUGCAGACCGUGUCUUUUACGACAAGUGGCGGACUUCUCAGUACGCCCAGAGAGAGGAGUAUCUGUUCAGCACGCUUCACACUCCGCAAGCCUUCAGCCGUAAAGGUGGCGAGGCUGAUCGCGCAGGAGGGGUGGAAGGCCAACCAUCCCAAGCCCGAAGAGAUCGAACGGUUGUGGAAACCGGCUCCCAAGCGCACCAUCGAGACUGAUGAGGUCAUAAUUAAAUGUGUGUCUGAGCAGACCUGGACAGGCCUGGCCAUCAAGGACUUUGGUGCCGAGCAAGGUCUAGGAGUGGUUGCAACACGACGGUUUUCUAAAGGCGACAUUGUGUGCGAUUACCACGGGAAGGUAAUCCCAGCUGCAGAAGGGAGGGCCAUGAUGCAGAACAUUCAUGACGAGGCCGGGUACGUGUUCUUCUUUAAAGCUGGACAGAGAGACCUGUGCAUCGACGCCCAGACCUUCCCCUGCGAGUGCCACCCCGACGCAAACACAGUUGGCAGAAGAAUUAACCAUUCUUCCAAAAGGCCCAACUUAAAGCCCUUUCACUGUGUGCUGAAGGUGAACGGAGAAGACAAGGAUGUCAUCCUCUUCAAGGCACUGCAGGACAUCACCGUGGACACACAAUUCAAAUUUGACUAUGGGGUAAAGAGAAAGUCUUUCCGUGGAGAGGGCCUGAACCUGGAGUGGCUGGAUGAGUAGGCUUCCAUGUACUUUUUUUAGUAGGUUACACAAAGAUGAGAUAUGUGGCUUGGAAAUUAGCCCGCUCAUUCUUCUCCUUGCCUACUUUUUUUCUCUUUAGCCACAAAAAAAAAAGUAAAAGACCAAUACAGAUAUUUUUUUUUCUUUCAAUAUUCAUAGUGGAAGUGCACCAGUCUGCUGUGACAGAAACCCCUGCUGCCCAUCAUCUGUUUGUCCUGGAGAGAGAAAGAUCACUGACUUCUCCAGCCAAGAUAAGUUCAACCAACUGUUUUAUAUGCUCCACUAAUCAUUCGAUUCACACAGACAGUCUGAGUCUAAUCUGCGAUUUCUUCUUCGUUGCAGCUACAAAUAACCAAACAUCAGCAGCUCACUCAGAAGAAGAAGAAGAAGAAGAAGUUUUAGCGUUCGUCCCACCUUUUAACAACUGGAGACAGUAUGUGCCAUGAUGCACAGUACACAGUAAUGAACCUGUUCAUUGCUUCUCUCCGUAUAUCAGUUUAUUCGGUUCAUUGUCUAGUGUUGGAUGUGUUUAUGCUCUCCAAGUGCUCAAAACUUCAGUCCACAAAAUUACACUUCCCCUAAAACCUUCUUCUUCCAGCAGGACCAUGGGGAAAUUUGACAGAGGGGGGCACACGCUGGAUCAAGCUUGCAAGACAUAUUCACAUCAACACGACAAAGGUAUUUAAAUUAAAACAAAACUCAUCCGACUCGUGAUUUCAUGACAUCAGUUAAUUUGCUUUGUUUUCAAUGCCAAGUACACCCAUAGCGCUGGUGCAGUCCGGCCUCGGGAUGUUGUGGACGCAGCUGAGCUGUUGGACUCGUUGGCCGGGUAUGUCUCUUCACCAACGAUUUGUACAGCUGAAAUGAGCAAGUUGUCCUCAUUUUUCUCAUAUCUUAAACCCUGUAUUCCUCACUUGUACAGCACUUCUUCGGACGAUGACACCUCCUUAGCUGAACUGGGUACAGCUGGAACCAGUUCGCGGAAAGACUUCUCUGCCUUUGUGACCAGAUUUCCGGUUUCUCUGGAGGGCCAGCCACCAACCAAAAGUUUGUAACGCUCUCUGCAGAGCUUUGCAGUUGAGGACAGUGUUGUUCCUAUACCAGGCAGGGAUGCAGCCAGUCAGGAUGUUCUCCACAGUGCAUGUGUGAAAUGAUUUGAAGGUUUUGGGUCUUAAACUGAACUUCCUCAGCUGUUUGCAGAAGAAAAGACACCGAUGAGCCUUCUUCAGCAAAGCGUCGGUGUGGAUGGACCAUGUGUGGUCCCCUGGUGAUGGGAACAAGAAGAAACUUAGCUCAUCAGCGCCACUGAUGCGGUGUAGCCUUUUCUCAAGCAGGGGAUGAAGUCCUUACAUAAGAAAACAUGCAUUAGGAGGUGGUAAAAUCAAUAAACAAUUUAUAAUACUAUUAUUUAUAAUUGUUGCACUGGACUUACUAUUGAUUCCUGUUGGAGGUUUUUGGAGGUAUGGGUCAAAAGAAUCCUUCCACAAUUAUCUCACAGGUGUGAAGUCAGCACUGAGUGUUUUCAGUGUCAGCACAAGUAGAAAAGGAGAAUACAUGCCUAUUUCUUCAACAACUGGCUUCAUCCUCCUUCAAACAAUCAGACAAAACAAUAAAAUCAAUCAAUUCAAUGAAUGCAGGUUUGCAUUUUUCUAAAAAAAAAAAAAAAAAAAAAAAAAAAAAAGUACAUUUCUAUAAUGUACUUAAAGUGCUCUAUUUUCAUGCACUAAUUUUGUACUUUAGUACUUUUAUACUAAAAAGUAGAAUUAAGAAUCUUAAGAACAUCUAAGUGUACUCAACUGUGCUAUUUUGAGACACCAUGAAAUAUGAACUAAAAUGUGCUUUUAAUAUACUAUCUCUGUAUUUACAAAAAAAAAAACAAACAAAAAAAAAAAACUACUUGUAGUACACUAUUGGUUCAAAUGUACUAUAAGUGCUAACUAAACAUUUUUUUAAAUACAGAGAUAGUAUAUUAAAAGCACAUUUUAGUUCAUCUUAAGAACAUCUAGAAGUAGAAUUUUUAGUAUAUUAAGUACAGAAUUAGUGCACAAAAAUAGAGCACUUUAAGUACAUUAUUGAAAUGUACUUUUUCACCUGGUUUCAGCAAUGAGUUCUUGGAUUUCUGUGUCUUCUUGUUGGGCUUUGGCAAUGUCUGACCAUUCUAUUGGAAAGGCUGCAAAGGAAGUUGAAGAAUCUAUGGGAACACAACUAUGGGAAAGUGUGUCUGGAAAAAUACUAUUGUCUUUUUCUGUACUUGACAGAGAAUUCAAAUUCUUGGAGACAGAUUCCCCAGUGUAUCAAUCGAGAUGAGGGUUUUGGAUCGUUGAAAACCCAGGUAAGAGCAGCUCUAGGGAUGACCAUUUGAAGUGAUCAUGCUAAGGUCUCCAUUUUUCUAUUGCCCAUACCACAGCACAACACUCCUUAUCCGAAACGGAGUAUGACUUUUCAGCUCCUCUUAAAAGACGUGAAGCAUAGCCGACUACAUGUUCCACUCCUGCAAUUUCUUGGGUUAGAACAGCUCCUACUCCAAGGUCGCUUGCGUCCAUCUGGACUCUGAAUGGUGCACUCAGGUCAGGGGGAAUUGUGAUUGGUGCACUAAUCAACUCGAAGGAAUUCUGACAUUCUUCGGUCCACAUCCACGUAGCUCCUUUCUUUUUCAAGGCAUGCAAUGGUGCAACCUUUUCUGAGAAUUUUGGAAUACAUCUCUGGUACCAGCCUGCCAUUCGUAGAAAUCGUUGCACUUCCUUCAGAGA
Ctenopharyngodon idella (grass carp) is the source of this 3891-nucleotide long non-coding RNA. RefSeq lists it as uncharacterized. NCBI's taxonomy places the organism in Eukaryota, Metazoa, Chordata, Actinopteri, Cypriniformes, Xenocyprididae. The transcript has 3 exons. The record is from RefSeq and is a predicted model, not a curated record.